UACGGAGGAUCCGAGCGUUAUCCGGAUUUAUUGGGUUUAAAGGGUGCGUAGGCGGUUUGAUAAGUUAGAGGUGAAAUGUCGGGGCUCAACCCCGAAACUGCCUCUAAUACUGUUGGACUAGAGAACAGUUGCGGUAGGCGGAAUGUAUGGUGUAGCGGUGAAAUGCUUAGAGAUCAUACAGAACACCGAUUGCGAAGGCAGCUUACCAAACUAUAUCUGACGUUGAGGCACGAAAGCGUGGGUAGCAAACAGG
RNAcentral lists this ribosomal RNA (253 nucleotides) under uncultured bacterium. RNAcentral describes it as "partial 16S ribosomal RNA". It matches the Rfam family "Bacterial small subunit ribosomal RNA", at positions 524 to 776 of the family's 1533-position model. The record is from RNAcentral.